AGGGGCAUCGGGAGGGAAGCUUGCUUUCCUUGCUUGCGACCGGCGCACGGGUGAGUAACACGUAUGCAACCUGCCCUCUUCAGGGGGACAACCUUCCGAAAGGGAGGCUAAUCCCGCGUAUAUCGGUUUCGGGCAUCCGAGAUCGAGGAAAGAUUCAUCGGAAGAGGAUGGGCAUGCGGCGCAUUAGCUAGACGGCGGGGUAACGGCCCACCGUGGCGACGAUGCGUAGGGGUUCUGAGAGGAAGGUCCCCCACACUGGUACUGAGACACGGACCAGACUCCUACGGGAGGCAGCAGUGAGGAAUAUUGGUCAAUGGGAGAGAUCCUGAACCAGCCAAGCCGCGUGAGGGAAGACGGCCCUAUGGGUUGUAAACCUCUUUUGUCGGAGAACAAAACCCGGGACGAGUCCCGGACUGCGUGUAUCCGAAGAAAAAGCAUCGGCUAACUCCGUGCCAGCAGCCGCGGUAAUACGGAGGAUGCGAGCGUUAUCCGGAUUUAUUGGGUUUAAAGGGUGCGUAGGCGGUCCGUUAAGUCAGCGGUAAAAUUGCGGGGCUCAACCCCGUCGAGCCGUUGAAACUGGCAGACUUGAGUUGGCGAGAAGUACGCGGAAUGCGCGGUGUAGCGGUGAAAUGCAUAGA
This 638-nucleotide ribosomal RNA is filed under the name uncultured bacterium. RNAcentral describes it as "bacterial SSU rRNA". It matches the Rfam family "Bacterial small subunit ribosomal RNA", at positions 65 to 694 of the family's 1533-position model. The record is from RNAcentral.